RNAcentral lists this ribosomal RNA (253 nucleotides) under uncultured bacterium. RNAcentral describes it as "partial 16S ribosomal RNA". It matches the Rfam family "Bacterial small subunit ribosomal RNA", at positions 524 to 776 of the family's 1533-position model. The record is from RNAcentral.
UACGGAGGGGGCAAGCGUUAUUCGGAAUUAUUGGGCGUAAAGGGCGCGUAGGCGGCUAGAUGUGUCAAAGGUGAAAUCCCUCGGCUCAACUGAGGAACUGCCUUUGGAACUGUCUGGCUUGAGGCCGGGAGAGGGUAGCGGAAUUCCCAGUGUAGCGGUGAAAUGCGUAGAUAUUGGGAGGAACACCAGUGGCGAAGGCGGCUACCUGGACCGGUUCUGACGCUGAGGCGCGAAAGCGUGGGGAGCAAACAGG